Molecule: ribosomal RNA, 274 nt
Filed under: uncultured bacterium
Lineage: Bacteria
Description: partial 16S ribosomal RNA
Rfam family: Bacterial small subunit ribosomal RNA
Source: RNAcentral
AUACGGAGGGUGCGAGCGUUACUCGGAGUCACGGGGCGUAAAGCGUCCGUAGGCGGUCGGGUAAGUCGGGUGUGAAAGCCCCGGGCUCAACCUGGGAAGUGCACCCGAUACUGCUCGACUCGAGUGCGGGAGAGGAUGGCGGAAUUCCCGGUGUAGCGGUGAAAUGCGUAGAGAUCGGGAGGAACACCAGUGGCGAAGGCGGCCAUCUGGCCCGCAACUGACGCUGAGGGACGAAAGCGUGGGGAGCAAACAGGAUUAGAUACCCUAGUAGUCC